This 460-nucleotide ribosomal RNA is filed under the name uncultured bacterium. RNAcentral describes it as "partial 16S ribosomal RNA". It matches the Rfam family "Bacterial small subunit ribosomal RNA", at positions 338 to 795 of the family's 1533-position model. The record is from RNAcentral.
CCUACGGGAGGCAGCAGUGAGGAAUAUUGGUCAAUGGGCGGAAGUCUGAACCAGCCAAGUCGCGUGAGGGAAUAAGGCCCUACGGGUCGUAAACCUCUUUUGCCGGGGAGCAAGGGCAGGUACGUGUCCCUGCCCGGAGAGUACCCGGAGAAAAAGCAUCGGCUAACUCCGUGCCAGCAGCCGCGGUAAUCCGGAGGAUGCGAGCGUUAUCCGGGUUUAUUGGGUUUAAAGGGUGCGUAGGCGGGCUUUUAAGUCAGCGGUAAAAAUUCGGGGCUCAACCCCGUCCGGCCGUUGAAACUGGGGGCCUUGAGUGGGCGAGAAGAAGGCGGAAUGCGUGGUGUAGCGGUGAAAUGCAUAGAGAUCACGCAGAACCCCGAUUGCGAAGGCAGCCUGCCGGAGCACUACUGACGCUGAGGCACGAAAGCGUGGGGAGCAAACAGGAUUAGAUACCCGAGUAGUC